Molecule: long non-coding RNA, 584 nt
Organism: Etheostoma cragini (Arkansas darter)
Lineage: Eukaryota; Metazoa; Chordata; Actinopteri; Perciformes; Percidae
Exons: 2
Source: RefSeq, a predicted model, not a curated record
GUUGGUAACGUUGGAGGGACAACGGGGGUGUGACAGACAGUUGAUCUCCCUCUACCUAAAAACAAAUGGGUUCACACGGACAGCCAACAGCUGUGUGAGCAGACAUCCUCACAUGCUCUGGUUGUGAGGGACCACCAAGAAGAUGAACAAGAAUAGACACUUAAUUCCCUAUAGUCACGUUAAUCAGCAUCAGUUGCCAGAUUCAUCAGACUACACCUACCACCCAUCAACGUCUCACUGGUGGACAGACCAGCAUACUCCCCGAUGUGGGGCCUCCUCAGGCCCAGGGCCUCGAUGAUCCAGUAGAACUGCUCAUCCCGAUCGUGGUACUCGGUAGACCUGAGAGCACAGGUCACACCUUCCAGACUGUCCACGAUGGGACGGGCAAAGUUGUGUUUUGUUUAGACUCUGAAAGAAAGAGGGGAGGGGCAGUUUUAACAAUUAAUAUAUAAGGAAUACUUCAUUAUGUCCAAAUGUUGUUGCAAAUACUACAGAUGUUUAAGUCUUAACCCUUGUGUUGUCUUCACUUUGGGACCCUCUCGUGUCCCUCGGGGUCAAACUGACCUGUGACUUAUUUGGGGUUU